AGUGAACGCUGGCGGUAGGCCUAACACAUGCAAGUCGAACGGCAGCACAGUAAGAGCUUGCUCUUACGGGUGGCGAGUGGCGGACGGGUGAGGAAUACAUCGGAAUCUACUUUUUCGUGGGGGAUAACGUAGGGAAACUUACGCUAAUACCGCAUACGACCUACGGGUGAAAGCAGGGGAUCUUCGGACCUUGCGCGAUUGAAUGAGCCGAUGUCGGAUUAGCUAGUUGGCGGGGUAAAGGCCCACCAAGGCGACGAUCCGUAGCUGGUCUGAGAGGAUGAUAAGCCACACUGGAACUGAGACACGGUCCAGACUCCUACGGGAGGCAGCAGUGGGGAAUAUUGGACAAUGGGCGCAAGCCUGAUCCAGCCAUACCGCGUGGGUGAAGAAGGCCUUCGGGUUGUAAAGCCCUUUUGUUGGGAAAGAAAAGCAGCAGGUUAAUACCCCGCUGUUCUGACGGUACCCAAAGAAUAAGCACCGGCUAACUUCGU
Molecule: ribosomal RNA, 491 nt
Filed under: uncultured bacterium
Lineage: Bacteria
Description: partial 16S ribosomal RNA
Rfam family: Bacterial small subunit ribosomal RNA
Source: RNAcentral